UAUUCAACUAUUAAAA
This 16-nucleotide transfer RNA is filed under the name Podarcis liolepis (Columbretes wall lizard). RNAcentral's name for it is "partial tRNA-Glu". Lineage: Eukaryota; Metazoa; Chordata; Lepidosauria; Squamata; Lacertidae. The record is from RNAcentral.